This 253-nucleotide ribosomal RNA is filed under the name uncultured bacterium. RNAcentral describes it as "partial 16S ribosomal RNA". It matches the Rfam family "Bacterial small subunit ribosomal RNA", at positions 524 to 776 of the family's 1533-position model. The record is from RNAcentral.
UACGGAGGGGGCUAGCGUUGUUCGGAAUUACUGGGCGUAAAGCGCACGUAGGCGGCUUUGCAAGUCAGAGGUGAAAGCCCGGGGCUCAACCCCGGAAUUGCCUUUGAGACUGCAUCGCUAGAGUUGUGGAGAGGUAAGUGGAAUUCCGAGUGUAGAGGUGAAAUUCGUAGAUAUUCGGAAGAACACCAGUGGCGAAGGCGACUUACUGGACACAUAUUGACGCUGAGGUGCGAAAGCGUGGGGAGCAAACAGG